RNAcentral lists this long non-coding RNA (203 nucleotides) under Elaeis guineensis (African oil palm). RNAcentral's name for it is "long non-coding RNA (EGUI_LNC043643)". Lineage: Eukaryota; Viridiplantae; Streptophyta; Magnoliopsida; Arecales; Arecaceae. The record is from RNAcentral.
UUCUCCAUUAGACAACCGAGCCAUCCUCUCCUGCACCCAAUGCUGGACCAUCAUCACCUGUUCCAGCUGCUGCUCCAUCAUCCCCUCCUCUAGCUCCAACUCCUACAUCUACAGCUGGUGAGCAUCAUCCUGCCUCCCCUCACAUGCCCAUAAUGCCUCAUACUUUUCCUAUAGAAGGGGUUAUGGAUCAGAUGAUGGAUCGC